AUUUGUCUGGUUAAUUCCGAUAACGAACGAGACCUUAACCUGCUAACUAGAUCCAAUUAUCCGAUUUUUGCGAUCUUCUUAGGGGGACUAUGUAAUAAAAAUACAUGGAAGUUUGAGGCAAUAACAGGUCAGUGAUGCCCUUAUAUGUCCUGGGCUGCACGCGUGCUACACUGAUGCAUACAACAAGUGCCUAGCCAGACAUGGUAUGGCAAUCUCGAAUAUGCAUCGUGAUGGGGAUAGAUCUUUGCAAUUAUAGAUCUUGAACGAGGAAUUCCUAGUAAGUGCAAGUCAUCAUCUUGCAUUGAUUAUGUCCCUGCCCUUUGUACACACCGCCCGUCGCUCCUACCGAUACCGGGUGAUCCGGUGAACCUUUUGGACUCCGUACGGGGGAAGAUAAGUAAACCAUAUCACCUAGAGGAAGGAGAAGUCGUAACAAGGUUUCCGUAGGUGAACCUGCRGAAGGAUCA
Molecule: ribosomal RNA, 467 nt
Filed under: uncultured ciliate
Lineage: Eukaryota; Ciliophora
Description: SSU rRNA
Rfam family: Eukaryotic small subunit ribosomal RNA
Source: RNAcentral